This 440-nucleotide ribosomal RNA is filed under the name uncultured Rhizobium sp. RNAcentral's name for it is "bacterial SSU rRNA". It matches the Rfam family "Bacterial small subunit ribosomal RNA", at positions 338 to 795 of the family's 1533-position model. Lineage: Bacteria; Pseudomonadati; Pseudomonadota; Alphaproteobacteria; Hyphomicrobiales; Rhizobiaceae. The record is from RNAcentral.
CCUACGGGGGGCUGCAGUGGGGAAUAUUGCACAAUGGGCGCAAGCCUGAUGCAGCCAUGCCGCGUGAGUGAUGAAGGCCUUAGGGUUGUAAAGCUCUUUCACCGAUGAAGAUAAUGACGGUAGUCGGAGAAGAAGCCCCGGCUAACUUCGUGCCAGCAGCCGCGGUAAUACGAAGGGGGCUAGCGUUGUUCGGAAUUACUGGGCGUAAAGCGCACGUAGGCGGAUAUUUAAGUCAGGGGUGAAAUCCCGCAGCUCAACUGCGGAACUGCCUUUGAUACUGGGUAUCUUGAGUAUGGAAGAGGUUAGUGGAAUUGCGAGUGUAGAGGUGAAAUUCGUAGAUAUUCGCAGGAACACCAGUGGCGAAGGCGGCUAACUGGUCCAUAACUGACGCUGAGGUGCGAAAGCGUGGGGAGCAAACAGGAUUAGAUACCCGGGUAGUC